Molecule: ribosomal RNA, 634 nt
Filed under: uncultured archaeon
Lineage: Archaea
Description: bacterial SSU rRNA
Rfam family: Archaeal small subunit ribosomal RNA
Source: RNAcentral
UAAGGCAGCACCGCUCAGUAACGCGUAGUCAACCUACUUUUUGGACGGGAAUAACCUCGGGAAACUGAGUAUAAUGCCCGAUAGAACACUAUACCUGGAAUGGUUUGUGUUCCAAAUGAUUUAUYGCCAUAGGAUGGGACUGCGGCCUAUCAGUUUGUUGGUGAGGUAAUGGCCCACCAAGACUAUUACAGGUACGGGCUCUGAGAGGAGUGGCCCGGAGAUGGGUACUGAGACACGGACCCAGGCCCUAUGGGGCGCAGCAGGCGAGAAAACUUUGCAAUGUGCGAAAGCACGACAAGGUUAAUCCGAGUGGUUUCUGCUAAAGGAACCUUUUGACAGUCCUAGAAACACUGUUGAAUAAGGGGUGGGCAAGUUCUGGUGUCAGCCGCCGCGGUAAAACCAGCACCUCAAGUGGUCAGGAUGAUUAUUGGGCCUAAAGCAUCCGUAGCCGGCUCUGUAAGUYUUCGGUUAAAUCUGUACGCUUAACGUACAGGCUGCUGGGAAUACUGCAGAGCUAGGGAGUGGGAGAGGUAGACGGNACUCGGGAGGAAGUGGUAAAAUGCUUUGANCUCUCGAYGACCACCUGUGGCGAAGGCGGUCUACCAGAACACGUCCGACCGUGAGGGANGANAGC